Centruroides sculpturatus (bark scorpion) is the source of this 1366-nucleotide long non-coding RNA. RefSeq lists it as uncharacterized. The transcript has 2 exons. The record is from RefSeq and is a predicted model, not a curated record. Lineage: Eukaryota; Metazoa; Arthropoda; Arachnida; Scorpiones; Buthidae.
GCCUUGGUGUGAUAAGUCCUGCAAAUUGUUAUACCCUAUUUAUUAGGUUAUCUAAUUCUGUCUAAUUUAUAGUUGAGGGCAAAAAAGCAUUGUUUAUUAAAAAUUAACUAUUUAUAAUUUUUGCAAUACAUUUUAAAUCUUGAAUUAACUUUAUUUUAACUCAUAGAAAGUCAACUUAACAAAAGCAUGAUUCACACAGUCCAUAAUAUUAAGCAGUUUUUUAAAAUAUAAACUACAGUAAUGAUUUAAAAAGCACUUUUGUUUAUAUAAAACUUAAACUUCUUCAGUUUAUACUGUUCUAAAAUGAAUACAAUUUAAAUUUGAAUACUUGGGUUUUCAGAUGGUUCAAAUGUUCAAAAGAUUACAUUUUUAAAGAUGCAGCAAUGUGAUGCUAUAAUUUGAAAUUUUAAGUGUGGAAACAUUUUAUAUGAGAAUAUUUCUUGAAGCCAUAACACAAAACUAAUUGGCCUUUAAGACCUUUGGUAAAUAAACAUUGUUGUUCUACUUUUGCUUUAGGAAAAAAACUAACCAAUCUUUUGCAACACAUCUUGUAUGAUUGUAAGUUUGGGAGUUCAAACAAUAUACUGCUUGUAUUUGUUCAGUCAAAUAGAUCCAAAUCUAAAAUUUUAUAAGGUAUAUUAUAUAUCUUACACCUUUCUUCAUACACUUAACUAUACAAUUUACAGAAACUUUAUUAUUAGCAGAAGACAUAGCUGUGUAUACUAGGAAAGCUAUUUUUGAUAUGCUAUAUUUAAUUUGUCAUAUGAAUUAUUUUUGAUUUAAAGACAAAUUUUACCUACAACAGUUGACAUUCCAAUGGACUUGCUGUUGUCAGCUCUUUUGGCAGAAAUUGUCAUGAGGCAGAAAAAUGGGUAUUCUAUAGACUUUUGCAAUCCCUUACCCAGUUUUAAGGUGAAGUAAUGGAUGAUAGCUUAAUAAUGGCAACAUUGUGAAAAUAAUUUUGAUAUGUUCUUUAACCAUAUUAAUAGUAUAUUUCUGUCUGUUCAGUUCUUGCUAGAGUCACAACAUUCAGUGUUUAUCAUGAAAACAGCUUACUUCUAAUAUCAGUUUAGUAGGUUUGUUAAUCCUGCUAUUACAUCACACAUGGAGGACUUACAAAUAUUCUUCUUCCACAAAUGCAUUAAAAGUAGCAUUAGAAAUAAUUCAGAGUGCUGUGUAUGGUUGUGAAUUUUCAGCUGCAAAAUUUAACUAUUUAUAUUGCAGAAUUAAAUGAAAAUUGUUUCCAUCCACCACCUUAAUGCCAGAAGAGAGCAAGUUGUGCUUCUUUCCCAUGACCUUUGUUAUGUUGUAACUGUAGAGAUGGAUGAGAACCUAGAAAUUGAAUGUAUAGCAUACUAUUGGAAAA